AGACAGCAGUCGCCACGGUAAUACGUAGGGUGCGAGCGUUAAUCGGAAUUACUGGGCGUAAAGCGUGCGCAGGCGGUUUUGUAAGACAGGCGUGAAAUCCCCGGGCUCAACCUGGGAAUGGCGCUUGUGACUGCAAAGCUAGAGUGCGGCAGAGGGGGAUGGAAUUCCGCGUGUAGCAGUGAAAUGCGUAGAUACGCGGAGGAACACCGAUGGCGAAGGCAAUCCCCUGGGCCUGCACUGACGCUCAUGCACGAAAGCGUGGGGAGCAAACAGGAUUAGAUACCCGCGUAGUCCCUGUCUCUUAUAC
Molecule: ribosomal RNA, 307 nt
Filed under: uncultured bacterium
Lineage: Bacteria
Description: partial 16S ribosomal RNA
Rfam family: Bacterial small subunit ribosomal RNA
Source: RNAcentral